CCGGCGGGGCCUCAGUUCCCAAUCCAUUUGCCCUUCCGCCGCCGGCGCUGCGUCGGUGCUGCGGGGUUUCCCUUCCCUCCCUUCCGAGGGCUCGCCCCGCGCUCCCGGCCUGAGGGACCCACGCCGAGCUCGCGGCGUCGCGGGGGACCGGGGACGCGGGGCUACACAAGGACCCUGACGGAGUAUUCCGCUUGGGCAACCCGUACGUCGAGGACCGCUUGCCGCGGGGCUUCCAGAGGAGGCGCCUGCCCGCCGAGAACAAUCUGACUUAUGGUGAGCACUUGUUUCUGUACAUCUGAGACCCUGGGCCACAUGGUAUGAAUUUGACCUGUGUGGAACUGAAGAUUAAUAGGAGUUAACUGAAGUGAGCAAGGAUUUGGAGCUGUUUGGAGCCUGAGUGGCAGAUGAAACCAACUUCUUGGGGUACAAGUGUGAGUUGCACCCCGGAGGCUGCUGCAGCAGGAAGCCCGGACAGCACAUAGAGCACCUUCACCCCUGCGCAGCUGAGGGGAUCUCAGCUACGGGUAAGAAGAGUGCCCCUGCCUCGGGCAGGGUGCCUGCCUCCUCCGACUGGGGACUCUACUGGAAAUCAGGUACGUUUUGCGGCGUCAGGGUAGACAUUGAAGUGCGAGCUUUGGCAGGAUGCCACACCGCCCACUGCAGGGCAAUGAGACUUGGUAAAACAUCAUCUAUUUCCUCAUCGGAUCCUCAACAGUCUCGUGCCGUGAUUGGACACACAUCUGCACAGAGAUUAAAGCAGAGUGGAGAGGUCAAGGCCAUAUCCUCAAGAAGUGAUCAAGGAGCGAGAACACAGGUCCCCAAUCCCUGCGCGUGAACAGGCACUUGCCUAGGCAGACACCAGUCUCGAGCUUCCUCAGGCUGCGAGUUGUCUCACCCCAUUGUCCUGUCUGCUGCUAAAUGGAGCAGCUUUGUGGUUGAGGGAGCUCCUCCUAAGAAACUUAGUAAAUUUUAGUGAGUAGCUACUUCCCUCUUGAAAUGUGGACUGCUUCAUGCAUGAUACAGUUCUGGAUAUGGGACUGUAUAAUAAUGUCCUUAUUUUCGUACUAUUAUCUCCUUAUUAUUGAGUGACCUCGCCAGACUGAUAGAAUUGAGAGUUAGUUCAUGAAAGUACUUAAACAGUGCCUGGCCCGUAAUAAAUCUUGUUCAAUUCUCUGUUCCAAAACUUGAUAACUAUAGAAUUGAGACCAGUGUUUGGCCUUUUUUUGUCUGACUUUUAACAAGUAUUUCCUGCCUUCCCUCAUUCACUAACCCAUGCACGCUGGCUCAGUUCCCCAAACCUGCCUUCCUGCCUUGGCUCAUGCUGCCCCAAUGUCACCAUGGGUGGAAGUCACCGCUGUCCCUCAAGGGCAGUCUCUCAGCUCAGAUAUGUCCAUGGGCUUUUUUUCCUCCAAGCCAUACGUCUAACUAGUCAGUAUCCAAGCUGCUAUAGCCACUAGGUUGAGGAGGAAAACUAAAGCCAUCAGACAUAAAAAAUUAACUUCCUCCUUGGGGGUGGGGGAGAGGAGGGCAAAUUAGCACCAAUUUUCACCCCGAUCCAGGAGAUACUUGGGAAAAUCACUGAUACCCUAGUGCUUUAUAUCCUACACGCAGCGGUUGAAAGGAGGCUGAACCCUCCUUUCCAUGGACAAGACGGGGCUAGCAGCAUCCUCAGGUCCAUGAGAAAUAACCCCCGAGUGAAUACCUGAGCUGCGUGGGGUGUGUGGAGGCAUGGCCUCGCAGACUGGCUGACACCUCAGCAGUUUCCCAAGUUCCUGGGGGAAGGUCUUCACUGCAUCCCUGGUAGCAUAUGGAACUAGGGUUAAAAAGUUUCCAUUUUAAAUACCUCAACUUACAAGUCUCCAAGGAAGCAUGUGUGUAAGACGGAGAGAACAGAACCUCAAGAAUACCUCAGGCACUUAGGGAUUAGGCCUGCAGAGGCAGAAGCAGCAGCAGGCUUAUCAGUUGAGGAGGGCCGGAGAAGGGAUGCUUUGGGGUGGGGGCUGCAGCAGACAGUCCUGGGGACACUGGGGAAGUGUUGGAGCAGCAGGAGUCUCCAAAGCAACAGUUGGCUGGCUUAGCAAUCCAAAUAAAGAACGAGGAAUCAUACAACGCAGGUCAUGUCUCGAGGGCUGAUGGCACUUGGAAAAGUGGGAGUCACCAAUGCACAGUAUGACAGCUGGUACCAGUGCAUCCUGGGUGACUUUAUUUAAGAACCUCCAGUUGUAGGGAUUGAUCUCCUCCCAGUUGGCAAAGUGCAGUGGGGAUACCAUGUACCACUUAACAUCUGUUUUAACUUGGAUGACGAGGCCACUUUGGACUCCUUUGGCAGUGGAGACAGUAGGACCAUCUGAAUGCAAGGUCAUCGCUUCCUGUCCCAACCUUGGGCUCUGGGAUCCUCACAGGGGCUCCCUUGCUGGAGCACACGACCCAGGGCCCAGGCAGGCUGCUGCCUCAGGCGUGUGCUGCGCGGAGGGGACGCCCAGCGGGCUCUGCCUGCCCGCUCCUCAGCCUGGAGUUAGGCUCCGACAUCUUAGGGCUCAGUCUCCAGUCAGGACCCUGUAACUCCUAAGUUGUUCAGUAAACUGAGGCCAUAUCAGUCUCCACAGGACUCAGGAGAGCUCUUAGAUGCGCCUCAACUACAAGUUUCUUUCUCUAGUCUUAAACCAUCAGUGUACCUGCAGACCUGCAUCCGUUUAAACAUUUUAAAAAGUUCAAUAAAAUACAUAUAUGAACUUUACAGUCUUCGACUAGUGAUACAUUUGCAAUUUAUCAAAACUCAGAUCAAAAUGCUUCAAGGUCAAAAUUUUAGUUUUAUAAGGUGGAAAAAGCCAGGACAGGGUCCGUUGUCUUCUAGUUUUAAGUAUGAGGUGCAGUGGGAGCGCUGUCUGGCUCUAAUAGUUCAGAAUGGCCGCUGGCCAGAGACAGAAAUACCGUCUCAUCUCACGGACAGUGGAGAGGGGAGCAUUUGCUAAGCACCCACCUUCAACCCCUUCCUCGGCACACGCUCUGCUCUAGAU
This is a long non-coding RNA of Rhinolophus ferrumequinum (greater horseshoe bat), 3017 nucleotides long. RefSeq lists it as uncharacterized. The record is from RefSeq and is a predicted model, not a curated record. Lineage: Eukaryota; Metazoa; Chordata; Mammalia; Chiroptera; Rhinolophidae. The transcript is spliced from 4 exons.